AACGAACGCUGGCGGCAUGCCUAACACAUGCAAGUCGAACGAGACCUUCGGGUCUAGCGGCGCACGGGUGCGUAACGCGUGGGAACCUGCCCUUAGGUUCGGAAUAACUCCCCGAAAGGGGUGCUAAUACCGGAUAAUGUCUUCCGACCAAAGAUUUAUCGCCUUUGGAUGGGCCCGCGUUGGAUUAGCUAUGUGGUAGGGUAAAAGCCUUCCAAGGCGACGAUACAUAGCUGGUCGGAGAGGAUGAUCAACGACACUGAGACUGGGACACGGCCCAAACUCCUACGGAGGGCAGCAGUGCGGAAUAAUGGACAAGGCGCGACAGCCUGAGCCCGCAAUGCCGCGUAAGUGAUGAAGGCGUUAGGAUUGUAGAGCUCUUUUAAACGGGAUGAUAAUGACAGUACCGGGAGAAUAAGCUCCGGCUAACUCCGUG
RNAcentral lists this ribosomal RNA (433 nucleotides) under uncultured bacterium. Its description in RNAcentral is "partial 16S ribosomal RNA". It matches the Rfam family "Bacterial small subunit ribosomal RNA", at positions 29 to 507 of the family's 1533-position model. The record is from RNAcentral.